Molecule: long non-coding RNA, 251 nt
Filed under: Anser cygnoides (Swan goose)
Lineage: Eukaryota; Metazoa; Chordata; Aves; Anseriformes; Anatidae
Description: lncRNA (ENSACDG00005008458.1)
Source: RNAcentral
AGUGAUGAUGUCCCCAGGCUCACAGUGACAGUGUCCCCAUAUCCACAGUGUCCCCGUGUCAGUCCCCAAAGUCUUGGUGUCCCCGUACCCACAGUGACGGUGUCCCCAGGCUCAUGUUGAUGUCCCCAGGCUCACGGUGACGGUGUCCCCGUACCCGCAGUGUCCCCAUGUCAGUCCCCAGGGUCUUGGUGUCCCCAUACCCAUGGUGACAUUGUUCCCAGGCUCACGGUGAUGGUGUCCCCAUAUCCAUG